Molecule: ribosomal RNA, 253 nt
Filed under: uncultured bacterium
Lineage: Bacteria
Description: partial 16S ribosomal RNA
Rfam family: Bacterial small subunit ribosomal RNA
Source: RNAcentral
UACGGAGGGUGCAAGCGUUAUCCGGAUUCACUGGGUUUAAAGGGUGCGUAGGUGGGUUGGUAAGUCAGUGGUGAAAUCCCCGAGCUUAACUUGGGAACUGCCAUUGAUACUAUCAAUCUUGAAUACUGUGGAGGUCAGCGGAAUAUGUCAUGUAGCGGUGAAAUGCUUAGAUAUGACAUAGAACACCAAUUGCGAAGGCAGCUGGCUACACAACUAUUGACACUGAGGCACGAAAGCGUGGGGAUCAAACAGG